UGGCAAAUAGCUUAAAUAAAGCGCAACACUGAAGAUGUUGUUAUAGGUUUCCUUUUGCCAG
RNAcentral lists this transfer RNA (61 nucleotides) under Hermissenda emurai. RNAcentral's name for it is "tRNA-Phe". The record is from RNAcentral. Lineage: Eukaryota; Metazoa; Mollusca; Gastropoda; Nudibranchia; Glaucidae.